This 268-nucleotide small RNA is filed under the name Arabidopsis thaliana (thale cress). RNAcentral describes it as "ATSL211620". The record is from RNAcentral. Lineage: Eukaryota; Viridiplantae; Streptophyta; Magnoliopsida; Brassicales; Brassicaceae.
AUAUAUUUUUUAAAAAAAAAACUUUGCGGGAAAUCUUUUUUCGAAAUUUUUUGGUGGAAAAUUUUUUUGGCGGGAAUUUUUUUUAGAAUAUUUUGGAUAAAAAUAUUAAUAUUUCAUUUUGUUAACCUAAAACAAUAUCUAAAUAAGGGUAAAAUGGUCAUUAAAAAUUUGAAGAGGGUAGAAAUGAAAAUGGCUAAAGAAAAAGGGUAGAGUUGAAAAUGGUUAUCAUGAAAGGGCAUUAGAAAGAAUUUUUCUAUAUAAUCGAUAU